This 76-nucleotide transfer RNA is filed under the name Escherichia coli. RNAcentral describes it as "tRNA-Met". The record is from RNAcentral. Lineage: Bacteria; Pseudomonadati; Pseudomonadota; Gammaproteobacteria; Enterobacterales; Enterobacteriaceae.
UCAUGAAUUAUUCCUCCGUCAGCGCCACAUAUUCAGAAUGUUUAAUCUCCUGGCAUUCUUCAGGAAUACCCCCUUU